GCUGGAGCUGACCUCUCCCGGCGGCGGGCGGUUAGGGGAAAGUACCUGGGAGAAAGGUAGAGGAGGUAAGGGGACCCUUGGGGGGUGCCCCUACGGGCUACCAGGGUUGAACGCACAGGCAUGGUCACGUCGGGGUAUUGCCAAGCUUUUGGCGCAGCUGGUCGGGUGGCCAGGCUGCAUGCGGCUUAGCAGGAGACGUCCUGGGCUGUUUGCGCAGGACCUCUGGAGGCCCUCGAGAUGGUCGCAAGCGGAAAGGUGCUGGAGAAUCUGGUAAAAGCACCAUUGUGAAGCAGAUGAGGAUCCUGCAUGUUAAUGGGUUUAAUGGAGAGGGCGGCGAAGAGGACCCGCAGGCUGCAAGGAGCAACAGCGAUGGCAGUGAGAAGGCAACCAAAGUGCAGGACAUCAAAAACAACCUGAAAGAGGCGAUUGAAACCAUUGUGGCCGCCAUGAGCAACCUGGUGCCCCCCGUGGAGCUGGCCAACCCCGAGAACCAGUUCAGAGUGGACUACAUUCUGAGUGUGAUGAACGUGCCUGACUUUGACUUCCCUCCCGAAUUCUAUGAGCACGCCAAGGCUCUGUGGGAGGAUGAAGGAGUGCGUGCCUGCUACGAACGCUCCAACGAGUACCAGCUGAUUGACUGUGCCCAGUACUUCCUGGACAAGAUCGAUGUGAUCAA
Molecule: small RNA, 676 nt
Filed under: Pongo abelii (Sumatran orangutan)
Lineage: Eukaryota; Metazoa; Chordata; Mammalia; Primates; Hominidae
Description: processed transcript
Source: RNAcentral